AUAAAACAGGCAGGGAGCUUAAAUUCUUGCCUUUUCUUCGCGGUCAAGUCUUGGGAGGAUCGAUCCUGGCGCGCUUGUUCGCAGCCCCGGAAACGGAACGGAUCACGCGAUACUUGAAAAACAAGGCCCGAGGCCUUGUUUUUUUUU
Martelella sp. AD-3 is the source of this 147-nucleotide small RNA. It matches the Rfam family "Alphaproteobacterial sRNA ar9". The record is from Rfam. NCBI's taxonomy places the organism in Bacteria, Pseudomonadati, Pseudomonadota, Alphaproteobacteria, Hyphomicrobiales, Aurantimonadaceae.